RNAcentral lists this long non-coding RNA (1177 nucleotides) under Capsicum annuum. RNAcentral describes it as "long non-coding RNA (CANN_LNC013253)". The record is from RNAcentral. Lineage: Eukaryota; Viridiplantae; Streptophyta; Magnoliopsida; Solanales; Solanaceae.
AUUUACUUUCUGUUCAGGACCCUCAUGAAAAAUGGGAUUUUACUUUAUGUUCAGGACCCUCUUGAAAAAUGGGAUUUCACUUUAUGUUCAGGACCCUCCUGAAAAAUGAGAUUUCACUUUAUGUCCAGGACCUUCCUGAAAAAUGGGAUUUUACUUUCUGUUCAGGACCCUCCUGAAAAAUGGGAUUUUACUUUCAAUUCAGGACCCUCCUAAAAAAUGGGACUUUACUUUCUGUUCAGGACCCUCCUGAAAAAUGAUAUUUUACUUUCUGUUCUGGACCCUCUUGAAAAAUGGGAUUUUACUUUUUGGAAAAUGAAUUCUUUCUUUAUCAUAAAAUUUGUUUAGAUAUUUUCGUUCUAGUUUUGAUUUUGAUUUCAGAAGCCCGCCUGAAGAACCAGGGUGAUGAAAUUGCAAGUCAGGAGUCCGCCUGAAGAACAGGGUGAGGAAGAUGAAAGCCAAGCAACAAGGUAAAGAAAUUAAAAGUCGAAAAAUAGCAAGUCAGGAGCCCGCCCAAAGCAUAGGGUGAAUAAAUGAAAAGUCAAUCAACAAGGUGAAGAAGCUAAAAGUUAAACAACAAGGUGAAGAAAUUGAAAGUCAACAAAUGGAAAAAUAACAAGUCAGGAGCCCACCUGAAGAACAGGGUGAUGAAAUGGGAAAUUGAAGAAACUGCAAGUCAGGAACCCGCAUGAAGAAUAGGGUGAUGAAAUUGAAGUACAAAAAAUGGCAAGUCAGAAGCCCACCUGAAGAGCAAGGCGAAUAAAUGAAAGUCGAGCAAUGAAGUGAAGCAAUGGAAAACCAAGCAACAAGUUGAAGAAAUUGCAAGUCAGGGGCCCGCCUGAAAAAUAGUGUGAUGAAGUAGCGAGUCAAGCGUCAAGGAAAGCUGCAUAGAUAGGAAUUUUGUAAUUUCAUUUAUAUUUUAACUUGUAAUUUUCAUUUUAAGGUAAUGACAGAGCCGCGGACCGGAACCUCGAUGGAACCUCAUUCGACUCUCCAACUUGAUUUAGUCCAUCUCCGUCCAAUCCUUUGAGAUAUCGAUCACUUGAUUCCCUCAUAACUUGGGUGGGUAGAAUGUCCAUCAAGACUAGGUUGCCCUUCUUCCUUCUGUUUCCUUCCUCGAAUAAUGAUCAGGAAAAAAUUCUGUUUCGUUGUCUACUUAUUUGAAUGAAAACACUUGGUG